UACGUAGGGACCAAGCGUUGUUCGGAUUUACUGGGCGUAAAGGGCGCGUAGGCGGCGUGACAAGUCACUUGUGAAAUCUCCGGGCUUAACUCGGAACGGUCAAGUGAUACUGUUGUGCUAGAGUACAGAAGGGGCAAUCGGAAUUCUUGGUGUAGCGGUGAAAUGCGUAGAUAUCAAGAGGAACACCAGAGGCGAAGGCGGAUUGCUGGGCUGAUACUGACGCUGAGGCGCGAAAGCUAGGGUAGCAAACAGG
RNAcentral lists this ribosomal RNA (253 nucleotides) under uncultured bacterium. RNAcentral describes it as "partial 16S ribosomal RNA". It matches the Rfam family "Bacterial small subunit ribosomal RNA", at positions 524 to 776 of the family's 1533-position model. The record is from RNAcentral.